This 1450-nucleotide ribosomal RNA is filed under the name uncultured bacterium. RNAcentral's name for it is "16S ribosomal RNA". It matches the Rfam family "Bacterial small subunit ribosomal RNA". The record is from RNAcentral.
GAUCCUGGCUCAGAGUGAACGCUGGCGGCGUGCCUAAUACAUGCAAGUCGAACGAUGAAGCUCUAGCUUGCUAGAGUGGAUUAGUGGCGCACGGGUGAGUAAUGCAUAGAUAACAUGCCCUUUAGUCUAGGAUAGCCAUUGGAAACGAUGAUUAAUACUGGAUACUCCUUACGAGGGAAAGUUUUUCGCUAAAGGAUUGGUCUAUGUCCUAUCAGCUUGUUGGUGAGGUAAUGGCUCACCAAGGCUAUGACGGGUAUCCGGCCUGAGAGGGUGAACGGACACACUGGAACUGAGACACGGUCCUGACUCCUACGGGAGGCAGCAGUAGGGAAUAUUGCUCAAUGGGGGAAACCCUGAAGCAGCAACGCCGCGUGGAGGAUGAAGGUUUUCGGAUUGUAAACUCCUUUUGUUAGAGAAGAUAAUGACGGUAUCUAACGAAUAAGCACCGGCUAACUCCGUGCCAGCAGCCGCGGUAAUACGGAGGGUGCAAGCGUUACUCGGAAUCACUGGGCGUAAAGAGCGCGUAGGCGGGAUAGCAAGUCAGAUGUGAAAUCCUAUGGCUUAACCAUAGAACUGCAUUUGAAACUGUUAUUCUAGAGUAUGGGAGAGGUAGGUGGAAUUCUUGGUGUAGGGGUAAAAUCCGUAGAGAUCAAGAGGAAUACUCAUUGCGAAGGCGACCUGCUAGAACAUAACUGACGCUGAUGCGCGAAAGCGUGGGGAGCAAACAGGAUUAGAUACCCUGGUAGUCCACGCCCUAAACGAUGAAUGCUAGUUGUUGUGGAGCUUGUCUCUGCAGUAAUGCAGCUAACGCAUUAAGCAUUCCGCCUGGGGAGUACGGUCGCAAGAUUAAAACUCAAAGGAAUAGACGGGGACCCGCACAAGCGGUGGAGCAUGUGGUUUAAUUCGAAGAUACACGAAGAACCUUACCUAGGCUUGACAUUGAUAGAAUCCGCUAGAGAUAGUGGAGUGCUAGCUUGCUAGAACUUGAAAACAGGUGCUGCACGGCUGUCGUCAGCUCGUGUCGUGAGAUGUUGGGUUAAGUCCCGCAACGAGCGCAACCCUCGUCCUUAGUUGCUAACUAUUCGGUAGAGCACUCUAAGGAGACUGCCUUCGCAAGGAGGAGGAAGGUGAGGAUGACGUCAAGUCAUCAUGGCCCUUACGCCUAGGGCUACACACGUGCUACAAUGGGAAGCACAAAGAGAUGCAAUAUUGUGAAAUGGAGCAAAUCUAUAAAACUUCUCUCAGUUCGGAUUGUAGUCUGCAACUCGACUACAUGAAGCUGGAAUCGCUAGUAAUCGUAAAUCAGCUAUGUUACGGUGAAUACGUUCCCGGGUCUUGUACUCACCGCCCGUCACACCAUGGGAGUUGUAUUCGCCUUAAGUCGGAAUGCCAAACUGGCUACCGCCCACGGCGGAUGCAGCGACUGGGGUGAAGUCGUAACAAGGUACCC